Molecule: transfer RNA, 73 nt
Filed under: Sphaerodactylus townsendi
Lineage: Eukaryota; Metazoa; Chordata; Lepidosauria; Squamata; Sphaerodactylidae
Description: tRNA-Val
Rfam family: tRNA
About the family: Transfer RNA (tRNA) molecules are approximately 80 nucleotides in length. Their secondary structure includes four short double-helical elements and three loops (D, anti-codon, and T loops).
Source: RNAcentral
GGGGUGGUGGCUCAGUUGGAAGAGCAGCUGCUUAACAUGCAGAAGGUCCCAGGUUCAAUCCCCAGCAUCUCCA